GGGGGGGGGGGGGGGGGGGGGGGGGGGGGGGGGGGGGGGGGGGGGGGGCAGGGCGGGGGCGGACGAGUGGGGGAGGGGGGAGGAAUACGUCGGAACGUGCCUAGUAGUGGGGGAGAACUACGCGACAGAGUAGCUAAUACCGCAUGAGAUCCAAGGAUGAAAGCAGGGGACCUUCGGGCCUUGCGCUACUAGAGCGGCUGAUGGCCGUUUAGGUAGGUGGUGGGAUAAAAGUUUACCAAGCCGACCAUCUGUAGCUGGGCUGAGAGGACGACCAGCCACAGUGGGACUGCGACACGGCCCAGCCUACUACGGGAGGCAGCAGUGGGGAAUUUUGGACAAUGGGCGCAAGCCUGAUCCAGCAAUGGCGCGUGCAGGAUGACGGCCUUCGGGUUGUAAACUGCUUUUGUACGGAACGAAAAGCCCUCUUCUAAUACAGGAGGGUCAUGACGGGACCGUAAGAAUAAGCACCGGCUAACUACGUG
RNAcentral lists this ribosomal RNA (482 nucleotides) under uncultured bacterium. Its description in RNAcentral is "partial 16S ribosomal RNA". The stretch from base 53 to 482 matches the Rfam family "Bacterial small subunit ribosomal RNA", at positions 39 to 507 of the family's 1533-position model. The record is from RNAcentral.